AUGAAUCUAAUGGCCUGGAACUGUCGAGGACUGGGGUUGGACUCGAAAGUGGGCGAGCUUAGAGACCUGAUAUGGUCCCACAACCCAGCGGUGGUGUUCUUAUCGGAGACAAAAAAGAGUGCAAAAGCAAUGGAGAGGCUCAAGUGGAGCUUAGGGUUUACUCAAGGAGUGGCGGUGAAUUGUGUAGGGAAGAGCGGUGGAUUGGCGUUGUGGUGGAGAGAUUAUGUGAAUGUGACUAUCAGACCAUGGUGUCAAUACUACAUAGAUAGUAAGAUGGAAGUGGAUGUGCAGACCUAUAGGUUCACUGGGAUCUAUGGGGAGCCGUGUGUGGAGAAGAGAAAGAAGACGUGGGAAGUGCUGAGAUAUUUGAGGACACAAGAUGAUAUUCCGUGGAUAUGCGUUGGAGACUAUAACGAGGCUAUCAUGCAGAAAGAAUAG
RNAcentral lists this ribosomal RNA (438 nucleotides) under Triticum aestivum (bread wheat). Its description in RNAcentral is "partial small subunit ribosomal RNA". Lineage: Eukaryota; Viridiplantae; Streptophyta; Magnoliopsida; Poales; Poaceae. The record is from RNAcentral.